CGGUCGAGGGCAGGAGAGCAGUGGCGUACGAACACGCGAGCAGUGCGGAGGGUGGUAACGCGUUUAUUGUUGUGUCGGGUGAGGCGUACGAAAACAACAGAGCACCCCUCCCCGGCGGACGACGGUGUAAAACGGGCUGCCAGCGGUGAGGCUGCAGAGCAGGCCGCUCGUCCAGCAUGCAACCACCACCGAGAAAAGGAAAUUUCGUAAAAUUCCUGAAGAAUGUGCACGCGGAGCAGGCUGCGAAGUUGCAAGCGAAAAAUCAGCACGAGUGCGACCUUCUGGAAGACAUUCGCAACUUUACAAUCAAAAAGUCUGCCAUCGAGAAAUCCUAUUCCGAGGCGCUCCUCAAAAUAUCUUCUGCCUACUUGAAUAAGAAAAUACCAAAUAUACCAGAUCUCAAAGUCGAUGGCGCAGAAGAAAAAUGGAACAUGUGGAACGUUUGGCGAACCGUGCUGGAGGAAAACGAAAAGCUCGCCAGAGCGCGAUUAGCAGCGGUGGAGGUUUUCCAACAGCAAAUCGCCGACGACGCGAAAAGUUUAAAGAUUCACAAAAUCCAGAUAUCCAAGAAGGCAAUCGACCAAUUAAUGAUAGUACAAAAAGAAUUGCAAACGUGCGUGCAAGACGUAGACAAAACGAAGAAAUUAUACUUCGACGAAGAGCAUAGCGCCCAUGAUGUACGAGACAAGGCAAAAGACAUAGAAGAAAAGUACGUGCGCGCGAUGAUUAUAAUUGAUCACGGUUUGGUAAUCGAUCGAAAACCUAAUGCACGAUUUAUCGUCGUUUUCAGACUGAAGAAAAAGAAGGGGUCCUUCUUUCAAUCGAUAACUUCAUUACAAAAGAACAGCGCUAAGGUAAGCUCUAAACGCGAUGCUUUGGAAGAAAAAUCAACCGGAGCUCGGAACGAUUAUUUACUUAGUCUCGCCGCUGCGAAUGCCCAUCAAAAUAGAUAUUUUGUAGUCGAUUUACAAAACACCAUGCAGUAUUUGGAGCAAGGCGUUUACGAUAAGGUGGCUGAAUAUUUAACCCUGAUGGGUCGUACAGAACUGUUGACCUGUUUGGCAACGCAAAACAGCUUCACGAAAAUUCGCGAUCAAGCACAACAGCUCACCAGAGAGUACAACAUACAAUGUUGCUGUCUGUAUUAUCCUGUUUUGAAGCAACACAUACAGUACGAUUUCGAGCCUUGCGAUCACGAUCCAGUAGAAAGGAUAACGGCCGAUCAUGCCGCUGCAGCCACGCUCGGGAAGGAAGCUCGUCGCUGGUCGACGAGAAUAGCUCGCGAAGUAAGCAGCAUCCGAGAAAAUAAUAGGAAACUUCAAGUUCUCGUGCAACUUAAAGAAUCUGGACAAAAGACUGAUCCGAACGAUCCACAAGGGCCAGAUAUAGACACGAAAAUCGACGAACUGAAGCACGCGAUACGACGAGCAGAGACAGCAAAGCUAAAGGCAGAAUCAAGAAUAGAAUGCCUUCGAAACGGUGGAGUGAACGUCGACGAAUGGCUUCAAGAGGUCGAAACAUUAAGCGUGCAGGAUAUGCCGCGUUCGGCCAGCUCCCUGUCCGUCAGAACCGACGCGUCUGGAACGGCGGAACAUCCGUCGUCAGAUUCGUUCUACGACAGCGACGGAGAUGGUGGAAGCGAUUUGACAACCGUCGAGCGGCCAGGCAGCGCACGAAAUGCUCCUCAACAAGAAGAGGAAUCAACAGAGGAAAGACAGAGGCACGAUAGCGAAGAAGUAGAUGCUUUGCUCGAACAAGAGAAACAACGAAUAGAGCAACUCACCGUCGGUUGGGAUGACCCGACAGCCGUAGAUUGGGACAACGAGGAGAAAGACGAACAAACCGAAGUCCACGAAACAUCUGAACAGCCUCCGGCUCAACCUAUAUACAAAUGCACCGCGCUUUAUUCGUACACGGCACAAAAUCCAGACGAGUUGUCGAUCGUCGAGAGCGAACAACUCGAAGUCGUCGGCGAAGGUGACGGUGACGGUUGGCUACGAGCACGAAAUUAUCGAGGCGAGGAAGGUUUCGUUCCUCAGAAUUAUCUCGACGUCGAGAGAGAGCCUGAGGUUACUUCUGGUCUCAGCUCUCAAGGUCCGUUGCUCGUACAGCAAAUAUCUUUCUCCUCGGUUGAUUAUACGAUCGACGAUCACGAUGCAGUCGAUCCCGACGCUAAUCUACAACAGGCUGCCCCUGAAGCUAUUGUACAAAAUCACAUAGGAGAAAUGGAACAAUACUGUAUCGCUCUUUACGAUUACGACGCCACAUGCGACGAAGAACUUAGCUUCUUCGAGGGUGACAUUAUGAGAGUUCUGAAGAAGGAACCACACGACGUGGACGACGGAUGGUGGGAAGGUGAAUUACGUGGACAACGAGGAUUGUUCCCGUCUUUAAUAGUGGAACCAUGUGGCGCUGACGGUUCGCCUUUGACCCCGCAGGAGAACAUAACGCCGCCAAGCUCCGCGCCACCUGUAUUUACGCCACCAGAGGUUCCAGAAUUCUUGUUAGAAGAGGAACUAGCGCAAAGUUUAAUGAAAGAAUCGCAAGGUGGAAAACCUAGCGACGUAAACGUUGAACAACAGCAACAGCAAGAUGGUUUUAUAAUAAAUCUUUCGAAGGACCAGAAGAGUCAGUAUGGCUCGCAAUUCGAUGGCGAUAAGGAAUCCGGGCCUGGUAUAGUGGUUGUAGAAGUAUCGGAUGAAUCGGGAACCAAGGCAGAUGAUGAAAAAUCAAAACAGUCGCAAUGCUUGAACAGCGACCAGUCUAACGAUGAUUUUGGACUCGGUGUUGCCCAAAUAGUGAUCACCGCGGCGACGCCGAUGGAAGAGAUCGAGCAUCCGUUUCCAGGGCUAGAGGAGACCACCGACGACGCGGUGAAAUCCACAGAAAGCUCCGAGGGUGAUCAGCCAUCGAGUACGACAACCACCGACAUGAAUGAAAGCGACUGCAAGGAAGCAACGGUAAUAAUGGAUGAGAAAGAGGAGCAAGAAGUCACAGAAGCAGCCGAAGACAUCGAAGAGAAGUCGACGGUCGAUGAAUUACCGGCAGACUCUGCCCCGUUCCCAGUUAGCAGCAGUUCUGGUAGCGAGGCGGACUCGACAUCCGGGCCAAGCACAGGAGACAAUUCCCAAUCGAUACCAUCUCGCGGCACUGUGAUCGAGGUACAAGAAACCGAAACGGAGGACAUCGAGAUCGUACCCGAGAAAAUGAUGGUAGUGGGAGGAAGGGCAAGUAUUCCAGAUGAGUUACAACCCGACCAGCUAGAGAAGCUGCAAAAUCUGAAAGAAUCGAAUGCCUAGGAUUGACUAGACCUCGGAGAUCCCGAUUAUCCUGCCUUAACAAAUAAACUGGCUCUUCCAAAAAAUCAUCAGAAUAAAUUCCAGCAUCUGCUGGAAUUCUGGAAAUCUCCAGAGGUUAUCGGGAAGAAAGACUAACCGGGAAUCGAGUAAACGGGACGACUGGGCAAAUUUUUAUGUUAAUACUAUGUACACAACAUUUUUGCUAGACGAUACUCUAGUGAACUAACUAUUUAAAAGAAGGGUGUUGCGACUUUUGCAACGUAUUUACAAGACGUUAAUGUACAGUCAUAAGGAUACAAUCCACAGCAGCGAAACUAUUCCAAAAAAAACACUUGUUGUGAAUAACAUUUGCUAGCAUGAUCGAAUGAAUUUCACAGAAAUAUAAUACCAAAUACAGGAAAACUAGAUUUGUGAAAUAAGUAUAAUAUGGUACUAAAACAUGUACGAAUGUAAAGUAACGAGCUAUGAAAAUGUUACAUGAAAUUUUCUCGGCUUUGCAAAUUAAUAUUUACAAUUAUAAUUGUACUCCAUUUACAUGAAGAGAUAAAAAAAAAUACACAAG
Hylaeus volcanicus is the source of this 3861-nucleotide RNA transcript. It is a transcript of the gene named protein nervous wreck, with no coding region annotated. The record is from RefSeq and is a predicted model, not a curated record. The transcript is spliced from 22 exons. NCBI's taxonomy places the organism in Eukaryota, Metazoa, Arthropoda, Insecta, Hymenoptera, Colletidae.